GCAGCCGCGGUAAUACGGAGGAUCCAAGCGUAUUCCGGAAUCAUGGGUUUAAAAGGGUCCGUAGGCGGUUUAGUAAGUCAGUGGUGAAAGCCCAUCGCUCAACGGUGGAACGGCCAUUGAUACUGCUAAACCUGAAUUAUUAGGAAGUACUAGAAUAUGUUAGUGUAGCGGUGAAAUGCUUAGAGAUUACAUGGAAUACCAAUUGCGAAGGCAGGUUACUACUAAUAUAUUGACGCUGAUGGACGAAAGCGUGGGUAGCGAACAGGAUUAGAUACCCUGGUAGUCCACGCCGUAAACGAUGGAUACUAGCUGUUGGGAGCAAUCUCAGUGGUUAAGCGAAAGUGAUAAGUAUCCCACCUGGGGAGUACGUUCGCAAGAAUGAAACUCAAAGGAAUUGACGGGGGCCCGCACAAGCGGUGGAGCAUGUGGUUAAUUCGAUGUACGCGAGGAACCUUACCAAGGCUUAAAUGUAGUUUGACCGAUUUGGAAACAGAUUUUUCGCAAGACAAAUUACAAGGUGCUGCAUGGUUGUCGUCAGCUCGUGCCGUGAGGUGUCAGGUUAAGUCCUAUAACGAGCGCAACCCCUGUUGUUAGUUGCCAGCGAGUCAUGUCGGGAACUCUAACAAGACUGCCAGUGCAAACUGUGAGGAAGGUGGGGAUGACGUCAAAUCAUCACGGCCCUUACGCCUUGGGCUACACACGUGCUACAAUGGCCGGUACAGAGAGCAGCCACUGGGCGACCAGGAGCGAAUCUAUAAAACCGGUCACAGUUCGGAUCGGAGUCUGCAACUCGACUCCGUGAAGCUGGAAUCGCUAGUAAUCGGAUAUCAGCCAUGAUCCGGUGAAUACGUUCCACGGGCCUUGUACACACCGCCCGUCAAGCCAUGGAAGCUGGGGGUGCCUGAAGUCGGGACCGCAAGG
RNAcentral lists this ribosomal RNA (921 nucleotides) under Flavobacterium sp. UA-JF4207. RNAcentral describes it as "bacterial SSU rRNA". It matches the Rfam family "Bacterial small subunit ribosomal RNA", at positions 511 to 1447 of the family's 1533-position model. The record is from RNAcentral. Lineage: Bacteria; Pseudomonadati; Bacteroidota; Flavobacteriia; Flavobacteriales; Flavobacteriaceae.